GCCAUAUACAGCAUGGAACAGGGCUCCACAAGGACAUGAAUACCAGGUGGCAGGGAUCACUGGGCCAUCUCUCUAAAUCACGAAUGAAACAUUUGCAACCUGUGUCUCCCAAACAUGAUAUGUCUCAAUCAUCAAAGGCUGGAGUGCAAUGGCGUGAUCUCGGCUCACUGCAACCUCUGCCUCCCAGGUUCAAGUGAUUCUCCUGCCUCAGCCUUCCGAGUAGCUGGGACUACAGGAUCUACAGUGACUACAAUAACCAAGUGCUACAAAAACGCUGUGACGAGGAAUCUGAACAACAGAGAUUUGAGGGAAACAAAACACUUUCGACGAAGGUCCUGCUGCUUGUCUUCAGCUUGGUACCAAUUAGAGCUUCACUGGAGGUGAAAAGGGCAGACACGGUUGCUGAGUGGCUGGUUGGAGAGUCCCUGAGAGAUUACCCAAGAAACUCAGUUGCGGCACGUGGUGGAGCAGCCUCUCAGGUGAAAAUAAAUUCACACUGCACGUGGAUAUCUGCCUGGGAGUACUUGUCAUUCACUGCAUAGUUCAUCUCUAUGAAGAACCUGCGUAUUUCUUUGUCAAA
This 580-nucleotide long non-coding RNA is filed under the name Homo sapiens (human). RNAcentral's name for it is "HSALNT0373692". Lineage: Eukaryota; Metazoa; Chordata; Mammalia; Primates; Hominidae. The record is from RNAcentral.